RNAcentral lists this transfer RNA (68 nucleotides) under Marmota monax (woodchuck). RNAcentral's name for it is "tRNA.Val". The stretch from base 7 to 63 matches the Rfam family "tRNA", at positions 9 to 63 of the family's 71-position model. From Rfam's summary of the family: Transfer RNA (tRNA) molecules are approximately 80 nucleotides in length. Their secondary structure includes four short double-helical elements and three loops (D, anti-codon, and T loops). The record is from RNAcentral. Lineage: Eukaryota; Metazoa; Chordata; Mammalia; Rodentia; Sciuridae.
GGAUACAGCUCAGUUGGUAGAGUGCCUGCCUCACAUGUACAAGGCCCUGGGUUCAAUCCCCAGCACCA